UCCGUAGGUGGAUAACUAAGUCAGAGGUGAAAUCCUGCAGCUCAACUGUAGAAUUGCCUUUGAUACUGGUUAUCUUGAGUCAUUAUGAAGUGGUUAGAAUGUGAAGUGUAGCGGUGAAAUGCAUAGAUAUUACACAGAAUACCGAUUGCGAAGGCAGAUCACUAAUAAUGUACUGACACUGAGGGACGAAAGCGUGGGGAGCGAACAGGAUUAGAUACCCUGGUAGUCC
RNAcentral lists this ribosomal RNA (229 nucleotides) under uncultured bacterium. Its description in RNAcentral is "partial 16S ribosomal RNA". It matches the Rfam family "Bacterial small subunit ribosomal RNA", at positions 568 to 796 of the family's 1533-position model. The record is from RNAcentral.